AGGACACGCUGGCGGCGUGCUUAAAACAUGCAAGUCGAACGGACUUCUCAUGAAGCUUGCGAUUGAGAAGUUAGUGGCGGACGGGUGAGUAACGCGUGGGCAACCUGCCCCUGAGCCCGGGAUAACAGUUCGAAAGGACUGCUAAGACCGGAUAUACUUGCGGGGAAGCAUUUCACUGCAAGGAAAGGGAACGCUCAGGGAUGGGCCCGCGUCCCAUUAGCUAGUUGGUGAGGUAACGGCCCACCAAGGCGACGAUGGGUAGCCGGCCUGAGAGGGUGAACGGCCACACUGGGACUGAGACACGGCCCAGACUCCUACGGGAGGCAGCAGUUGGGAAUCUUCGGCAAUGGGCGCAAGCCUGACCGAGCAACGCCGCGUGAGUGAUGAAGGUUUUCGGAUUGUAAAGCUCUGUCUUCCGGGACGAUAAUGACGGUACCGGAGGAGGAAGCCACGGCUAACUACGUG
This 465-nucleotide ribosomal RNA is filed under the name uncultured bacterium. Its description in RNAcentral is "bacterial SSU rRNA". It matches the Rfam family "Bacterial small subunit ribosomal RNA", at positions 33 to 507 of the family's 1533-position model. The record is from RNAcentral.